AUGAAGAUCAUAGAAUAGGUAUUUCUUUCUUUCUUUUCUUCCUCCUGUUAUCUUUCUCGGCCGGACUUUUGUUCCACACUCCAGUCCAGCAGGUGGCGGUAAAGCAUAUAUUAGCUGGACUGCCAACCGCCAAAAACACUGAAGAAGAAGGCAGCACACUUGUUUUUGUCGCUUGUUUUAUUUCUUAUAUAUCAGUCUUAUAUAUAGCAGUUGAUCAAUGCUUUUAAAAUUGUGGUAUCAUCUUUAGAGAAUCUGCAUCGAGAGAUUUGACAGAAAAUCUGACUGAUUUACAUCCACACAUCUGCUUGUGGGAGGCUCUGGAAGUGAAUAGUCAUGACUGCUGAGAGAGUGUUUGUGUUUGUUGAUGAAGAGGAGCUUUUCAGCGUGACGAAGGAUCUGGACUGUCUCUACUGUAGGAUUCCAGUCACUGCAUCUAAACAGCACCUCAGAAAGAAACAUCUCAGAUUCGCUAUAUAUUAUAAAGACUCUGGCCUCGGGAAGUUUUCUAUCCCCUGUUAUUGUUCUGAUGGAGGCCAAGGCAGGAGCCACUGGCAUUGCCCAAUGUGCUCAAAAAUAUUGCACAGGACACAGAAUUACAAAAUCCAUAUUACCAACCACGGUGUUGAGAUGACAGACAAAUCCUCAGUUGAGCUACAGCCUACAACUGUCCUGUUAGACAGCCUACAAACGGACAACGAAGACAAGACACCAGACAACAAGGCAGCGUGCCAAAAGUGUGGGAUCCUCUUUACCACAACGUCAAAUUUGAGACGGCACGAGAGACUACAGCACAGCCAGGACCAGCAGCCCAUUUUAUGCAUAGAUGCCAAAAAUGCAAUCUAUGUUACACCCAAAUAUCUGCACGGGCCGAGAGUGCCCAUUCAUAUCCGCAAGUCCUUCACCUUGCAGAUUCUGCUGUGUGAGCUGGAGGAAUGCUGGGAUUUCAUGAAAGCGCAGGCCCAGAGCGGGAAUCCUGGAAAGGAAUGCCGUCACCUGCUCCGAACGAAUCAGGCACGGCUCUACGUUCCCCCUCCACCGCUGUGCAUUAACUCUUUGGAGGAGAUGAGCCACAAACACCUCCUGUCCGCAUCCGAGAGACACGAGUGCCAGGAGAUCAACUCUAGGGCAUGUAUGCAGGGGGUGGAUUGUGUGUACCCUAUUUUUUGGGGCGAGCAUGACCUUUCAGAGAGAUGUGUCUUCUUUUCAGUGUACACCGACCUUGAGGACAAAUGGUGUCAGUUUGGGAGGACAUGCGUCUCGUUUGACACCAAGUCUGGCAGCUGGAAGUGUCUGUGUAAGCACAAAAGAAGCCGCUGCGUCCACAAGUGUUUGUCUAUGUGGUGGUUGUUUCAGGAGCGUCCUGAGCUGUUGCAGAAUGCCCUAGAUGUCCACGCGGAAAGUGUCGACGUGCUUGAGGAAGCAGCCAUGGAUGCAGAGGACGUGCUUUAGAUGACGGACUCAACAUCCGUCAGAACUUCUCUCGUUUUCUGUCUUUACUCAAUAAAAACACUGGAUGUAAC
Sinocyclocheilus anshuiensis is the source of this 1520-nucleotide long non-coding RNA. Ensembl lists it as uncharacterized. The record is from Ensembl. NCBI's taxonomy places the organism in Eukaryota, Metazoa, Chordata, Actinopteri, Cypriniformes, Cyprinidae.